AAAUGAAUUGACGGGGGCCCGCACAAGCGGAGGAACAUGUGGUUUAAUUCGAUGAUACGCGAGGAACCUUACCCGGGCUUGAAAUGCAUCUGACGUAUUCGGAAACGGAUAUUCCCUACGGGGCAGAUGUGUAGGUGCUGCAUGGUUGUCGUCAGCUCGUGCCGUGAGGUGUCGGCUUAAGUGCCAUAACGAGCGCAACCCUCAUCGUCAGUUACCAUCAGGUAAAGCUGGGGACUCUGGCGAGACUGCCAUCGUAAGAUGCGAGGAAGGUGGGGAUGACGUCAAAUCAGCACGGCCCUUACGUCCGGGGCGACACACGUGUUACAAUGGGUGGUACAAAGGGCAGCUACCUGGCGACAGGAUGCUAAUCUCCAAAACCACUCUCAGUUCGGAUCGGAGUCUGCAACUCGACUCCGUGAAGCUGGAUUCGCUAGUAAUCGCGCAUCAGCCACGGCGCGGUGAAUACGUUCCCGGGCCUUGUACACACCGCCCGU
Molecule: ribosomal RNA, 494 nt
Filed under: uncultured bacterium
Lineage: Bacteria
Description: bacterial SSU rRNA
Rfam family: Bacterial small subunit ribosomal RNA
Source: RNAcentral